AAAAAUGGAAGAAAUUAUCAACGAUUCUAAGGAUGGAAAGACGCAAAGUUAAACGAUCCACGCUCUAGGGGUAAGCAGGAUCAAGAAACUGAUGCUGGGGACAAAAAGAGAGAAAUAGAAGGAGAAUUGAGAGAAAGGCGGAUGAACUCGUAGCGUGGAAGAUCGUAGAGGCUUUCAACGGUUGAAAGGAAAGGCUAAACUCUCGGAAGAAGGAUGAAGAAUAGCAUAAAGAGCAGGGUGAAAAAGCCAGCGCAUAGAUCGGUCAUGCGGAACGUGCGAAAUAGUAUUCGGGCCAUGAGGUAACAGGGAACGUAUACGGUUUUCAAUUUCCCACGAGAGGUCAAGCAAAUUCAUAACCCAAUCUAUUCGCAAACCGAGAGGAACAGCGGGACGCCGAUGAAUUCGAUGAUGCAACGCGAUCUCCACCCUGUGUUUAUUAUUUUUAAUCGAUACUUUUUCACUCUGAUUGCGAUUACUAACGAUCCAGCCAAAUACACCAUCCAGGAAAGCAGAGAAAAGAAGAUAUACUGAAUUAUAUUUUAUCAACAGAAUCAUCUACUGCGAGGGUUGUUUGAAAACAAAGAAGAAGAAUAUCUGCGAAUUAUAACUGGAAUUUCAAGAUGAGGGUUUUGAUCUAAGACCGAGCAUUGAAGGUGGGAAGAAGAAUGCUAAAGAGAUAUAUUCAAUAUUUUAAGAAGAAUCUGUUAAUCUUGGAUUUAAUCUUGUAUCGGAAAAAGAAUACACGAAUUAUAUUAUAAUAUUUUAAGAUGAAAGUGUUGAUCUAAGCCGAAAGAUGCGAAGAGAAAGAUUCUCAAAAUAAAAGAAGAAUCCUUCAAACCAAACAAUUUUAAGGAGAAGACUCUGAUCCAGAACUAACCUAAUAUUAGAAAGGACAAUCACACGAUAUAUGACAAUACUUUAUCAAUACUCUGACAUAGUCCAAUCCAUAUCAGAAGAAAGGUACAUAAAUUAUGUUACAUUAUUUCAAAAAAGAAAUUCUCCAAAAAUCCUUUGACUCAAACCCAACUCUGCUUACAAUGUGAUUUAGAGAGUCCAGAGUUUGCAUUAUUCUUAUAACGUUAUUGUAUCUCAAAAAGAAUCCAGUGAGUGCUAGCUGGUUCCAGUAAUAAUCUCAUCACUCGUCCCUUGUCGCCACUUUACAUAAUUGGAUGAACGAUCUCUGUGCUACCGUAAGAAGAUAAACUCUCUGCCACGCUUAACGUUAUUCACGAUGCAGUGUUACGAAUAAACAAGAAGAAUUCGAAACGGGUAGACGUGCUUCUUCGUCAAAAAAGGUUCGACAGAGAAUGUAUCGAAGAGUAGUACAGAGAUGUCUAACGCCAAAGAGGCGUGCAAUGUUAGCAGGGUAAGUUAACUUUCUAAUAAUUAGGUGAAACUGUCAGAUAGAACGAUUUAAACAAAGGAUAUGCAAAGCUACGUAAAAUGUAAAUGAAGAUGUAACCGGAAAUCAUCCGCAGCUGAAAGGCACUGGAUCAGGAAUAAAUAAUAAUAGUACAGAGAACUACAUCCGAACGCUGACGUAUUUCCGGAUUUCACAUAAACGUCUUACGAAUUUACUUUCUUGUAUGAAUUUAUUAUGUUACCCUACAGUCCUGAUGCUGUUCUUGGACAAUAUAAGCAAUAUUUAUCAACGACUAAUAUCGAUAAAGCUAUGCUGUCUUAAUGCUGUUCUUGGAAGAUGUGGGAAAUAUUGAUUAAGAAACAUAUUGAUAAAGUUAUUACAAAUAUUGGUAAACGAAGACGUACGCCGCUUUGCUCUCCUGUUUAUCAAUCUCAAGUGGUUAAUUCCCACCCAAAGAUAUAGAAACACCGGACUUCACAAAUAAAUAAAUACAAAUAUUAAAUAGAUUGAAAAACAAACAGAUGGCAGGCAAGAUCGUCUGAAACCUCUGUUCUAUCAUCUAAUAAACAACAUAAUAAAUAACAUCAACGUUGUAAGACAACACAGUAAAUCUAUAAAAGAAACUCAAAUGAAAGGAGCGUCUUCGUUGAAGAAGCUGUGACAGACGAUGCAUCGAAGAAUGGUAUAGACAACUAUACUGGACUAGAAGGUAAAAGGAGAUACGGUCCCGUAUCGGAAACGCACGAGAACAUCGUUAUCGGGUUCGCGAAUCUGGCGAGCUGUGAACCUGGCAGAAAUCCAGAACCCGCGUCGCUGCACCGGUGCGGUGAAAGAAAGCCCGCGACACGGGCGAUAAUCAUCGUAAACGUUGUCGAAAUUGUCCUCUUUUGUCGACGAAACCUCGAACGAAUCGUGAAGCAAACCUCGACGCUUCUCUGACGUCAAGAAACUACCAGUGGUUUUCAACGUUCGAAUACGUAACGUGUCAUACGAGGAAUAAUUUUCGAAGAACGAGUAGUUCGUUAAUUAACGAAUCGUUGAGCCAAUUUACACGCAUGUACGAAUUUUCUAGCGAGAGAACGAUGAUUCGUGCGGGUAGACGCGUAUUAGAGGUUGUGAGGUUGAUCACGUUGAUUCCGUACGCAGGCUGUGCACCCUGGCGAGUACGCAUUGUCCCGUAGCACGUCCUGCUCGUAGAUCGAUCCAGUCUUUGGUACGCGAACGACGAGGCUUCGUGGAGAGCAAUGUGUUUAACACGUUGAAUGGCACGCGAAUUUUAUAUGUUUUGUCCUGAGGGCCACGACAGUUUGAAAUAUGCUACACCGUAACGUUCAAUUCUUGUAAAAUAUUAUAUCGUAUUUGCGCACACUUUGCCGAGUGUUGCUAAGUCAUUCACAUUGUUGGAGAUCUUUUUGUCCAUGAAAUUUAUCAUGUUGUAGACGUUGUAUAAGUGAGCAUCGGUGACCAUCGCGACCAUGGGAUUUUGCUAUUAAGGUGAACAAAUUGACGAUAACAUGCAGUUGAAAUUUGGUGUAAGCUGAUCUUUGGAGAAUUUCGAAUUUUAUAGAUCGCAUGCUUGAAACUGAAAACGACGAACCACAGUGAAACUGGACUAAAGAUUCUAUGCUUGAAAUUGUGUAACAGCAAGCCUUUCUUCUCUGGGGAUUUUUGAGAUGAAUUCGAAGAUCCGGAAUGAAAGAGGAAUUCGUGAAAUCGACGAGAAUUUCGAGCCUCCUUGACCCUCGGUGACCCAAAUAUUUUCGCUCCUGACAGAGGCUGAUGCAGAAUUGCGGCAGACCCGUGGAAACGUUCGGUCGUUCCCUUUUGUCCGCAUCACCUUCAAAAGGAUCAUUCUAUCUCGCGAUAGAAUGACAAAUCGUCGCCGACGUGUCUUUAAUUCGUCAAAAGUUUCUUACAUCCGAUAGAACACAGAGGAUAUUCUCUCUUCUAUCCUUGAUGAAAUCGUUCUCAAACGAAUAGUAUGAUUAAAGGAGCGAAGAAUUCGAAUCAAUGGAAGAGCCAAACGAUGGAAAGAAAGAGAGGCAAACUCUAUUUAAUUAUACUAGAUUAUAUCAUAUAGAGCAUAAAAGACCACUAUGCAGAGGAGUCACGAUUUCUGAUUUCUGACAGGCAGCUGCAUCCUGACCUAUCCAACGAACGCUUUCCAACAGUGUCUCUGGAGGUUAGCCCACCGAUUGAUCCACGCGCUCCACUUCUCUACUCCUCUACUCAACGCAACUCCGUCGCAUCCACGAUUCAGAAGGGACCCUACGAUCGUGAUAGAAACCGCCACGACUCUACCACCGUCACCGCGUCUCUCCUGACCUUGCUCCGCAACCUUUCAUACCGCUGUUUCAUCCCUCGGUAUAACUCGAUCCACACGCCUCCGUUCAUCAAUCAGUCGAACGUACCGGAGCGGUCCACUCGCAGGAAUUCCUCUUACCAAACAACCGACGUAAAUACGACUCUAGCUUUUCCACCUACCAAUCGAACAAUUCCAACGAGAUACCUUCGAGCCCUUCCACGACUAUCAUUGCGCGGAACCAACGGCCAAUACCAAAAGAAAGGUAUUCGUAUAUUGGAAAAACGAGGAAGAAAGGAAAGGAAGAGAACUGUAAGGAGUAAACGAGUAGCGAGAAGAGGGCCUAAAGGGAGGGAAAAAGAGAAAGGGAGAGUUUGGUGGCGCACCACGCGACCGCAACGAUCAUUCCAAGAGCAGACAUUGUGGACAUCGUGUAAACGGCUAAAAAUGGACGAAUCGAAUCUGGUGUGUCGAUCGUACCGAUGUGAAUACGUAUUCCAAGCAGCUUGAUCUUCUCGGAAGGCGUUAUCUUCGUUGGUUAAGCAGGGUGGUUCCGUCCAUCGCGUUUCUGGAUCGUAUCGCCCUAAGGAUCGAUCGUAGUCGGGUGCACACGCGCUGACCGGUUGCGGUACGCGUUCGGGAAACGCGUCCCGGACACGUUUCGCCUAUAGUUCGACUAGACAGAGGAUGAUCGCUGUUAAUCGGCUAUAUACAACUUCCAUCCACGAUUCCUCCUAUGUUUCUUCUUUUUCGUAACUCUUCCACCGAUUUCGAUUAUAUUCUUGUUCUGUUUCUUUUUUUUUUUUUUUUUUUUUUUUUUUCACACGGUUCUCGUUCUGAGAAAAUACAAAUUCCGAUCUCCACGCACCGCUGCUGUCCCGUCGUCCUUGUCUGAUCGCGCGUACGUGUGUGGCGAGGCGCGCGCGCGCGCGCUGAUCAGCGUUACUCGCACACAGGGAUUCCGAAACCCAGCCGUGCGACAGGCUGACCGAUUGGCGACUGAGACUCACCCUCUGUGGAGGCGCUGACUACCCUUAACUCACCCCCACUCAUCGACAGCGCGCCACCAAUAGCGGCCCCCCACCACUCAACCUUUCCCCCACCAUCAUAUAUCCUUCUAAUCCCCGUGGUGUUCGCGCUCGCGCGUGAUUUCGUCUCGCGAUUCCUUCGGGUUUCCCUCUCUUUCCUGCGAAAGAGAGCUUGCUCUUUUUUUUUUCCUCGCCUUUUUUUCAUUCGGAUACAUAUCGUUAUAAUUAAUCGUUGGCUUAAAGGGAACCGGUUCGAAGGUGUUUAACUCGAUAACGUGGUUAGUAAGCUUCCACCCAGUGAAUGACGAUUUUUGGCUUGAAAUUUCAGUUGACUUUAAAUUUAUGCAUCACUGUAUGCGUUCAGUAAAACGUACGUGUUGUAUUGGUUUAGGAAUACGUACAGCCCCGUUUAUAAGUAUUAGAAUAUCUAUCGGUUUCAUUGGAAAUAUGGAAAUUAAUCUAAAGUAUCAAGGAGACGAUUGAUCGAGCAGAAUUUUAUAUUCAUGCAAAGUUGCGAUGCAGUAUACGUGGAAAGCGGAAAUUUGUUAUAAAUAUUUGAAUGAAUUAUAUAGUAGCAUAUUUGUGUAAUUAUUUGUUCAUCCAUGCAGUUUUGUAAUCUGAAUUCUAUCGAGCAAAAUUUAAGGUAAAUUGGAUAGGACGCUUCAAGAAUCCUACCGCAAAUUUCAAUCUGUAUUUUAUAGAAUACAUUGUGCCAAAUGACAAGAAACGCGGUAAUAAUACUUAUGAUCGGGAAUGUACGUAUACAGGGCUCGUUUGGUCAACUGUGGUCGUUUUCUUAGAGAAAAAAUAGCUUUUGCGUUAUUGAAGAACGUACUCGGGCAAUAAAUAUCUUUAUAAAUUAUUAAUUGGGCAAGGAAAAAUGUUCAAUCUCAAAAUCGAAUAAAAGGAUAAUUUUAGUGACAUGAGAUUAAUUGACAAUAUACCGAAUUUUAGAACUGUUCUCUGCUUAUGGUCGAUACACGUAUAUCUAUGUUGAUAUGUGAUAUAAGAAAUUAUCAUACCAAAGCGAUUAGGAGGUAAAAAUACGUGACAAAGAAAAAGUUCUUUAGUUAACCCGUAUCACGUUCCGUGCCACGUGGAUCACCAGUGACCCACAUUUCCUUGAGUCGCGAGGAAACUUACUUCCGUGAAACAAACAAUAGUAAAAUCGGGACGAAACCCUACAAACGAAUACGUACCGCGAGACCACGAUUACUUUUGUUUGAAUUUUAAAUUUCCGCAAUUGAAACGCGUCGAAACAUCUGCUAUUCCAUCGCGGAGUGGAAGAAGAUCUUGAGCUGGAGUUUUCGACGUUUCUAGCUGAAUGCGAACGGAUUUAUCGAGCUUAUUGAAUUAAUGGAAACGCGGCGCACGUAUAAGACCGUAAUUAAAGCGAAAAAGAAAAAGAAGGAUAGAAAAAGUUGGAAGAAUAUUUUUCGUGUGCUUAUUACUAGAGUUGUGGUAAUGAAUUAUAAGACUUUAAAACGUCAAGAGUACACGGUUACAGUGAUGAAAUUGUAAAAUAGAAAAAAAAUACUGAGCUUUUUAUCUCGAUCUUGUACAUUCCGAUAGUAACUUUCGUUAUUUUAAAUUCAGCUCAAAAAACAUUACUUAUAGGAUGACUCUACAGUAUAUCUACAGUAUCUAAAAUAAUUCACUCGCUGUAAUAACUAAUAGAUGGAACAAAUCUAUAUUUAGCUUCCAUUCCUUUACUCGCGUUCAUAAAAGUAUGAAUUCUGAUGUACGAUUCUUUCUUACGGCUACAAAUCUUUACGACCUGCUAUUUCACCAUGAGGGGCCGUAUGUACGUAUGUGUAUAAAGAGCUGGGAAGAUGAUUAGCGGUACAUGUGCACUGGACAAGAGUAGUACUGUUCUCUAUCAAUCACGCGUUGCUAUAUGAUCUAGUUUGUGAAUGUAAGAUCCGUGAAAAAUAUGGACCACGACCAAGAACCGUUCCCGGACCAUUUAGGGUACUCGUACACUGCAGGCCACAACUAUUAUUGGGUCACUUAUCUCCUGCAUUUACUGAAAAACUGCAAUAAAUUUUAUUUUAACGAGUAUUUUACAUUAUGCGAUACAUAUGGUGCGAAUAAAGUAACAGACUCGUGAUAAAAUAAUUAGUAAAUGAAAGCAACGAAAACCAUUCAUAUUUCCUUAAAUAUCAUAGGAUAUCCUAGUAGUUAUUAUCGGCUACGUACGCGACACUUUCGGCCAAUAUACGUACACUUAUUUUUAUGAUUGCGUUGGGUCUAUCGGAAAGAAUUGACCAGGCCUGUCCUUUACCUAAUCACCUUUUCAACUUCUCUAUUAUACACACGAUAAAACGCUGGAGUCCGCUCGCAUACGCGAAACGAGCCAGCGCCAGAGGCAUCUUGUUAUCCGCGAAUUUCCGGCCGAGUUGUUUACCGCUUUAACCAACGACUCUUUAAUUACUUCAACAACCUACUGCCACGAACUUGACCGACUCUAAGAGCUACUCCUGUCGAGCGUGUCAUGUUAAUGAAGUUUGUCACAUUCGUUUGCGGAAUCACCAAGACUUCCCUACCGAUCGAGAAACGGAUAAUCGAUACAGAAGAUACAGAAAGAGAACGUGGCUUGAAAGUUUCAAAGAUACCUAAUCCGACGAAUGGAGACUUGGAAGUGAUGUUUGGAAGAUUCAAUCCUGGCUGGCAAUGUCGCUUGAGUUUCCAGUAGAAUCUGUAAUUAAAAAUUUAAGUGCUAUUAGCGAUCGAGGGAUCGGUUAAUUUAAAAAAUGAUUCGAUGUGGGACAUUAAAUAGAAUAAUAAACGUAAUUGGUACGUUCUUGGGAGAAGAAGGAAAACAUAACGAUAGAAGGAAGACGAAGGAGGAAGAAUAGAGAGGGAAAGAGGGAGAAGAGAGUGUUGGUUCGAUCGAAGUUGUCGAAGGGAGGGCGCCACUUUGCCGGCCACCCCAUUUUCAUUAGCUCCUACGGAUCAUACACUUAUCAGAUUAUCUUUACAAUAGCCUUCAUAACAUUUGACAUAGCAUGCCUCCACAAAAUCCAAGAAAGGUGACAAAUUUUUUAAAGGAAAAAGAAAUUUUAUAAGAAAUUUUAAUAACAAGAAAGGUGUCAUAUUUUUGAAGAUAAUAAGUACCAAAUAAGGAAACAAAUACGAAUACAAGGACUAAAGAAACAUCCAGUAAUAAAGGAUGAUGUAGUAAUGUAGGAUGAUGCAAAAGAGUUACGGCAACAGAAAAGUAGUAAAAAAUUAUUUUAAAAAGAAUUGGAAUGAAAGGAUUGUAAAACCACUUAAAGAAACAAGAAUCCUGAGGUAAAAAAUCCCUACAAGAACACCAGAAAUCAGUUGUUGAAAUGGCAAAUACUAUGAUGAGAAGGAAAUAAAAUGUUUUUAAACAAAACACUACGGACUAAAAUACUAAAAAUAUACUAUAAAGAUAAUACCGACGAGAUGAACGCUAUGUCGAUAAAAAAAAAGAAAAAAGAUCUAGCAAUAAAAAAGUCCUAUAAAAACACCAGAAGCCAGAAAUAGAAACAAUAAGCCCCAUGAACUUUCACGAACUACUGUAUAUUUGCAUUAGAUACUUAUUUUGUAGCUUCUAUGAUAUUUCCAUAUUUGUUUCAAAUUUUAUCGAUAUAAUCAUAACAUGACAUGAUGCUCAUACCAUACUUUAUUACAGUGCUAAUGAAAUUUUUAAAUGUUUCGUAUGACAAAUGCGGUGGGGGAAAAAGUAAGUGAACUAAUAAGAUAGUGGAAAUAGAUAUAUCACUGAAAUUUCACUAAAUAUGGCUUGUUUACACAAAAUUAUAAAUCUUAAUUUCUAUUACUUACUAAACAAUUUUGUGUACAUUAAGAACAUGCAAUAAACAGAAUUUAAGUAUAUAACACUAA
This is a long non-coding RNA of Bombus terrestris (buff-tailed bumblebee), 8566 nucleotides long. RefSeq lists it as uncharacterized. The record is from RefSeq and is a predicted model, not a curated record. The transcript is spliced from 5 exons. NCBI's taxonomy places the organism in Eukaryota, Metazoa, Arthropoda, Insecta, Hymenoptera, Apidae.